RNAcentral lists this ribosomal RNA (561 nucleotides) under uncultured bacterium. RNAcentral's name for it is "bacterial SSU rRNA". It matches the Rfam family "Bacterial small subunit ribosomal RNA", at positions 777 to 1346 of the family's 1533-position model. The record is from RNAcentral.
AAUAGAUACCCGGGUAGUCCACGCCGUAAACGAUGGAUGCUAGCUAUUGGGGGGAAUCGACCCCCUCCGAAGCGAAGCUAACGCGUUAAGCAUCCCGCCUGAGUAGUACGAGCGCAAGCUUAAAACUCAAAGGAAUUGACGGGGACCCGCACAAGCGGUGGAGCGUGUGGUUUAAUUCGAUGGUAAACGAAGAACCUUACCAAGGUUUGACAUCCCGGUAGCCGUUCUCCGAAAGGAGAAUUUCAUUUAGUUGGACCGGUGACAGGUGAUGCAUGGCCGUCGUCAGCUCGUGUCGUGAGAUGUUGGGUUAAGUCCCGCAACGAGCGCAACCCUUAUGAUUUAGUUGGAUUUUUCUAAACAGACUGCCCUGGUAACAGGGAGGAAGGAGGGGAUGAUGUCAGGUCAGUAUUUCCCGUUACACCUUGGACGACACACGCGCUACAAUGGCCGGUACAAUGGGCAGCUAAGCCGCGAGGUGGAGCAAAUCCCAUCAAAGCCGGUCCCAGUUCGGAUUGCAGGCUGAAACCCGCCUACAUGAAGCCGGAAUCGCUAGUAACCAGC